This 490-nucleotide ribosomal RNA is filed under the name uncultured bacterium. RNAcentral describes it as "partial 16S ribosomal RNA". It matches the Rfam family "Bacterial small subunit ribosomal RNA", at positions 28 to 507 of the family's 1533-position model. The record is from RNAcentral.
GAUGAACGCUAGCGAUAGGCUUAACACAUGCAAGUCGAGGGGCAGCAUGGUCUUAGCCUGCUAAGACUGAUGGCGACCGGCGCACGGGUGCGUAACGCGUAUGCAACUUGCCUCACAGAGGGGGAUAACCCGUCGAAAGACGGACUAAUACCGCGUACACUCCAUCUUGGGCAUCCAAGGUAGAGGAAAUGAAAUUCGCUGUGAGAUAGGCAUGCGUCCCAUUAGCUAGUUGGUGAGGUAACGGCUCACCAAGGCGACGAUGGGUAGGGGAACUGAGAGGUUGAACCCCCACACUGGUACUGAGACACGGACCAGACUCCUACGGGAGGCAGCAGUGAGGAAUAUUGGUCAAUGGGCGAGAGCCUGAACCAGCCAAGUCGCGUGAAGGAUGACUGUCUUAUGGAUGGUAAACUUCUUUUAUACGGGAAUAACAAGAGUCACGUGUGACUCCCUGCAUGUACCGUAUGAAUAAGCAUCGGCUAACUCCGUG